UAGUCCACGCCGUAAACGAUGUGUGCUAGUUGUUGGAGGCUUAAGUCUUCAGUGACGCAGAGAAAUCAUUAAGCACACCGCCAGGGGAGUACGGCCGCAAGGUUAAAACUCAAAGGAAUUGACGGGGACCCGCACAAGCGGUGGAGCAUGUUGUUUAAUUCGAAGCAACGCGAAGAACCUUACCUACCCUUGACAUACUGGUCGGGAAUUUCAGAGAUGAUUUUCUUCACUUCGGGUGGACCAGAUACAGGUGUUGCAUGGCUGUCGUCAGCUCGUGUCGUGAGAUGUUGGGUUAAGUCCCGCAACGAGCGCAACCCUUAUCGUCUGUUGCCAUCAGGUUAUGCUGGGCACUCUGGCGAGACUGCCGGUGAUAAGCCGGAGGAAGGCGGGGACGACGUCAAGUCAUCAUGGCCCUUACGGGUAGGGCUACAAACGUGCUACAAUGGCUGUGACAGUGGGCAGCGAGGUCGCGAGGCCAAGCUAAUCUCUAAAAACNGUACUCGU
Molecule: ribosomal RNA, 504 nt
Filed under: uncultured bacterium
Lineage: Bacteria
Description: bacterial SSU rRNA
Rfam family: Bacterial small subunit ribosomal RNA
Source: RNAcentral